AACGCACGAGACCUGCGGACCUGCGGAGGGAUCAUUACCGAGUUUACAACUCCCAAACCCCUGUGAACUUAUACCUUUACUGUUGCUUCGGCGGGUCAUUGCCCCGGGGAAACAGGUGCCGCCAGGUCCCUGCCCCCCCGGAAACAGGCGCCCGCCGGGGGACUCAAACUCUUCUGUAUUUUUUGUUUACUGUAUACUGUCUGAGUAAAAAUUCAUAAUGAAUCAAAACUUUCAACAAUG
RNAcentral lists this unclassified non-coding RNA (240 nucleotides) under soil metagenome. RNAcentral's name for it is "partial contains 5.8S ribosomal RNA, internal transcribed spacer 2, and large subunit ribosomal RNA". The record is from RNAcentral.